AAAAACAGAUAAGGGCAGACGGUGGAUGCCUAGGCUCUCGGAGGCGACGAAGGACGUGAUAAGCUGCGAUAAGCUACGGGGAUCGGCACAUACGAUUUGAUCCGUAGAUUUCCGAAUGGGGCAACCCGGCAUGUAGAAGACAUGUCACACCGCAGAGCGGUGAGCGAACGUGGGGAACUGAAACAUCUAAGUACCCAUAGGAGAAGAAAACAAAAGUGAUUCCCUUAGUAGUGGCGAGCGAACGGGGACUAGCCCAAACCAGUUUUGUUUCGGCAAAACUGGGGUUGUAGGACCUUGACAUAGGAAGACAAGAUUAGGAGAACGGUCUGGAAAGGCCGGCCAUAGAGCAUGAAAGCUGUGUAUCCGAAAAUCUUCGUUGGACUUAGAGGUAUCCUGAGUAGUGCGGGACACGUGAAAUCCUGUGUGAAUCUGCGGGGCCCAUCCCGUAAGGCUAAAUACUCCCGAGAGACCGAUAGUGAACCAGUACCGUGAGGGAAAGGUGAAAAGAACCUCGAACAGAGGAGUGCAAUAGACCCUGAACCCGUCUGCCUACAAGCGGUAGGAGCAGCCUUGAGCUGUGACUGCGUGCCUUUUGCAUAAUGAACCUACGAGUUACUUUCUCUGGCAAGGUUAAGAGAUGAAGAGUCUCGCAGCCGAAGCGAAAGCGAGUCUGAAUAGGGCGUAUAGUCAGAGGGAGUAGACGCGAAACCAAGUGAUCUACCCUUGGUCAGGUUGAAGGUUGGGUAAAACCAACUGGAGGACCGCACCGGUAAGCGUUGAAAAGCUUUCGGAUGAACUGAGGGUAGGGGUGAAAGGCUAAUCAAACUUGGAGAUAGCUCGUACUCCCCGAAAUGCAUUUAGGUGCAGCCUGUGGAGUUUCUUACGUGAGGUAGAGCGACUGAUUGGAUGCGAGGCUUUCACCGGCUAUCAAGUCCAGACAAACUCCGAAUGCACGCUAAGUAAGAUCCACGGAGUGAGGGCAUGGGUGCUAAGGUCCAUGUCCGAGAGGAGAAGAAUCCAGACCAUCGGCUAAGGUCCCGAAAUAAUAGCUAAGUUGACCAAACGAAGUCAGAGUGCGAAGACAGCUAGGAUGUUGGCUUGGAAGCAGCCAUUCAUUUAAAGAGUGCGUAACAGCUCACUAGUCGAGUGCUUUGGCAUGGAUAAUAAUCGGGCAUAAGCUAUUUACCGAAGCUGUGGGAUGUUUAAACAUCGGUAGGGGAGCAUUCCAGCGACGUUGAAGGUAAGAGGACAACUCUUGCUGGAGUUUCUGGAAAAGCAAAUGUAGGUAUAAGUAACGAUAAAGGAGGUGAGAAACCUCCUCGCCGAAAGACUAAGGUUUCCUGAUCAACGCUAAUCGGAUCAGGGUUAGUCGGGGCCUAAGGGGUAGCCGAACGGCGCACCCGAUGGACGAACCGGUUAAUAUUCCGGUACUAAUUAUGUGAGCGAUGUGGAGACGGAGAUGUGACGGUCCUGCCAGCUGACGGAAUAGCUGGUUAAAGGGUGUAGGUGUUGAUCGGGGUAGGCAAAUCCGCCCUGAGAGCUGAACCUGACAGUACUCUGAGUGCUUGCACAAGGAGAUAUGGACAAAGUAACGGCGCUCCCAAGAAAAUCCGCUAAGCAUAUUGCAUGAUUACCCGUACCAUAAACCGACACAGGUGGUUGGGUUGAGUAUACUAAGGCGCUCGAGUGAUUCGCGGUUAAGGAACUAGGCAAAAUAGUUCUGUAACUUCGGGAUAAAGAACGCUCACCUAACCGGUGAGCCGCAGAGAAUAGACCCAGGCGACUGUUUAACAAAAACACAUGGCUAUGCUAAAUCGAAAGAUACAGUAUAUAGCCUGACACCUGCCCGGUGCUGGAAGGUUAAGAGGAGAUGUCAUCGCAAGAGAAGCAUUGAAUUGAAGCCCCAGUAAACGGCGGCCGUAACUAUAACGGUCCUAAGGUAGCGAAAUUCCUUGUCGGGU
This 1961-nucleotide ribosomal RNA is filed under the name human oral metagenome. RNAcentral describes it as "bacterial LSU rRNA". It matches the Rfam family "Bacterial large subunit ribosomal RNA", at positions 1 to 1977 of the family's 2925-position model. The record is from RNAcentral.